Ailuropoda melanoleuca (giant panda) is the source of this 317-nucleotide non-coding RNA. The record is from Rfam. Lineage: Eukaryota; Metazoa; Chordata; Mammalia; Carnivora; Ursidae.
GAAUGUGAGGGCGAUCCAGCUGCGACAUCUGUCACCCCAUUGAUCGCCAGGGUUGAUUCGGCUGAUCUGGCUGGCUAGACGGGUGUCCCCUUCCUCCCUUACCGCUCCAUGCGUGUCCCUCCCGGAGCUGUGUGCUCGAAGAGGACGACCUUCCCCGAUAGAGGAGGACCGUUCUUCGGUCAAGGGUCUCUGAGUAGCUGCGCUCCCUGCUAGACCCUCCAGACGAGCUCUCCAGGAAUUUAAGGGGCUGCAGUCUGGAGCAGUAGUGAAGCCAAACUUUCCAGUAGUGAUUGAAGUUUUUCUUCUCUUUGUUCUUU